This 61-nucleotide transfer RNA is filed under the name Dipodomys ordii (Ord's kangaroo rat). The record is from Rfam by way of RNAcentral. Lineage: Eukaryota; Metazoa; Chordata; Mammalia; Rodentia; Heteromyidae.
GGCAUUGUGGCUCAAGUGGUAGAGCACUUAACUUAAGCUGAAGAGCUCAGGGACAGUGCCA